UACGUAUCAAGAGUGCGACGAGAGUUCCGGCUUUAUGACUCGCCAGCAACCUGCCGAAGGUAAGGUGCUCCAUCCGGCCCCUAGCGGGAAGAUGCUUU
Molecule: non-coding RNA, 98 nt
Filed under: Candidatus Kaiseribacteriota
Lineage: Bacteria
Description: Candidatus Kaiserbacteria SAM-I sequence
Rfam family: SAM riboswitch aptamer (S box leader)
About the family: The SAM riboswitch is found upstream of a number of genes which code for proteins involved in methionine or cysteine biosynthesis in Gram-positive bacteria. The SAM riboswitch acts at the level of transcription termination control. The predicted structure consists of a complex stem-loop region followed by a single stem loop terminator region.
Source: RNAcentral